GGGCGCUUGGUCUAGGGGUAUGAUAUUCGCUUUGCAUCUCGUAUGAACAUGGUAACAAUAGUUGUUCAACAUUGUUUCUUUGUUUAUUCAUGAUGAUUGCGAAGGGUCGUGGGUUCAAUUCCCACAGCGUCCA
Non-coding RNA from Diatrype stigma, 133 nucleotides. NCBI's taxonomy places the organism in Eukaryota, Fungi, Ascomycota, Sordariomycetes, Xylariales, Diatrypaceae. The record is from the annotation of a GenBank genome assembly.